GGAGUCCAGGGCUCGUGGGGGACAGGAGUGUGGAGCUGAGCCUCCAACCCAGCUUUUCUCACCUGAUAAUAUCCCUCAGAGAUCAUUCCUUUCCAGCACAUGAAUCGACCUCAUUCUUGCCGUGGCUGCAGGGUGGUCCACUGGGUGGCUAUGCCACCAUCUACUAGUUCCCCACUGAUGGCCAUUGAGGGAGCUUCCAGACCUUUUGCUACUCCAGACUACACUGCAGUGAACAUCUUUACACUUAUUUCUUUGCAUGCUUGUGUUGAUAUUUCUGAGGGGCAGAUUCCUAGAAGUAGGGGUGCUGGGUCAAAGGAAAUAUAUUUUGAUCUACGUAAUACAUGUGAUGAUUAAGAGAAAAAGAAGAUAAUAGAACAAAAGGACUUCUGCAGAACCCCAGAUGCAAAGCAAUGCACGCUACAAGCCCGUGAUUAGGCUCAUCCUCCGCAGUGUACCAUCUCCAGCCAGUCCCUCUCUCCCAACUCUGUCCUCUCCUGUCCUCAGCAGCUGCUGCUGUCCCAAGAUAAGCAAGACAAACAUUCUUCAGGAAAGAUCAGCAAAUUUGCUCCUCGCUGUGACCAGGGCACAGGAGCCAGCAUACUCAAGACAUGCAGGAGAUAAAGCAGAUCCUUGGGAAUGGCGGGAGGGGUGCCCAGAGGGGUCUUCCCACAUGAAAUGAGAUUCCUCAUGAUUAAAGGUCGAGCUGCA
This is a non-coding RNA of Vicugna pacos (alpaca), 708 nucleotides long. Lineage: Eukaryota; Metazoa; Chordata; Mammalia; Artiodactyla; Camelidae. The record is from RefSeq and is a predicted model, not a curated record.